This 253-nucleotide ribosomal RNA is filed under the name uncultured bacterium. RNAcentral describes it as "partial 16S ribosomal RNA". It matches the Rfam family "Bacterial small subunit ribosomal RNA", at positions 524 to 776 of the family's 1533-position model. The record is from RNAcentral.
GACGAACCGUCCAAACGUUAUUCGGAAUCACUGGGCUUACAGAGUUCGUAGGCGGUCUGGAAAGUUGGGUGUGAAAUCCCUCGGCUCAACCGAGGAACUGCGCUCGAAACUACCAGACUCGAGGGAGAUAGAGGAAAGCGGAACUGAUGGUGGAGCGGUGAAAUGCGUUGAUAUCAUCAGGAACACCGGUGGCGAAGGCGGCUUUCUGGGUCUUACCUGACGCUGAGGAACGAAAGCCAGGGGAGCGAACGGG